AACCCAAACCCGCCGCGACUCCAUGUAGUCUUUUAAACCCUUUUCCCGGGGGAGGGGCCCUCCGAAGUCUGCUUCGGGAUUUCCCCGUUCCCCCUUCGCUGGUUACAUACCCGGAUAGGUAAGCCCGGCCAUUACCCCCUUUCGCGGGUAACUUUGUGGUGGGGUGCUUCGCGAAUUUAACCGCAAUUUAGGUGUCUCGCCACAUAGAGUGACUAGCAUUUAAGGACGGCAUCCACUUACCCUCGCGGGCUGCUUUUAAGCGCAGAGUUUGCGGUUUACGCCUGGUGGUGCCCUUCCGUCAAUUUCUUUAAGUUUCAGCCUUGCGACCAUACUCCCCCCAGAACCCAAAAACUUAUGAUUUCUCGUAAGGUGCCGAGCGAGUCAAGAUAGAAACAUCGCCCGAUCCCUAGUCGGCAUAGUUUACGGUUAAGACUACGACAGUAUCUGAUCGUCUUCUUCUU
Molecule: ribosomal RNA, 461 nt
Filed under: Lophiostoma sp. JP213
Lineage: Eukaryota; Fungi; Ascomycota; Dothideomycetes; Pleosporales; Lophiostomataceae
Description: partial 18S ribosomal RNA
Source: RNAcentral